This 446-nucleotide ribosomal RNA is filed under the name uncultured bacterium. RNAcentral describes it as "partial 16S ribosomal RNA". It matches the Rfam family "Bacterial small subunit ribosomal RNA", at positions 338 to 795 of the family's 1533-position model. The record is from RNAcentral.
CCUACGGGGGACUGCAGUCGAGAAUCAUUCACAAUGGGGGAAACCCUGAUGGUGCGACGCCGCGUGGGGGAAUGAAGGUCUUCGGAUUGUAAACCCCUGUCAUGUGGGAGCAAAUUAAAAAGAUAGUACCACACGAGGAAGAGACGGCUAACUCUGUUCCAGCAGCCGCGGUAAUACAGAGGUCUCAAGCGUUGUUCGGAAUCACUGGGCGUAAAGCGUGCGUAGGCUGUUUCGUAAGUCGUGUGUGAAAGGCGCGGGCUCAACCCGCGGACGGCACAUGAUACUGCGAGACUAGAGUAAUGGAGGGGUAACCGGAAUUCUCGGUGUAGCAGUGAAAUGCGUAGAUAUCGAGAGGAACACUCGUGGCGAAGGCGGGUUCCUGGACAUUAACUGACGCUGAGGCACGAAGGCCAGGGGAGCGAAAGGGAUUAGAUACCCGAGUAGUC